Small nuclear RNA from Ailuropoda melanoleuca (giant panda), 104 nucleotides. Lineage: Eukaryota; Metazoa; Chordata; Mammalia; Carnivora; Ursidae. The record is from Ensembl.
GUGCUCAGUUCAUCAGCCCAUGUACUACAAUUGGAACAAUGGAGAGAUUACCAUGGCCCUUGCACAAACGUGACGUGCAAAUUCGUGAAACAUUCCAUAGUUUU